AUGAUUUAUGUCCCAGAGUACCAAAUAUAUUGCUAAGUAGCUUAAGAAAAAAGGGACGUGUCAUAAACAAGAAAACUGAAGAAAGACGACAUAGGUAUUUCCCAUUUCACAAUAAGCAUAUUGAAGUCUGGCGGCAGUAACUAAGGACAAAACUACCAUAUGAUAUGAGCCGCCAACUAUCCGUUCUUUUAGUCCAUGGGACUAACCUUAUUUAUCUUCAUCAGAAUCAUCAACGCUGGAAACUAAGAUAAAGGUACCAGAAAACUACUUUCAUCAGAAAAGUUUACUCAGAGGCCAACUGAAGGAGCUGUAGACGUUGUUGAGUAGAAUCUGUUGCUACUAGAAUCGUUGAACCUGAUAAUAUGGAACCUCUAGUAUUUUUAGGAUACAAAAUAAUUUUUCUGCUGGGAGGUGCUCAUUAACAAUGGUUCAUGACACGUACCAUGAACUAGCACGAAGAGCUUAGGAGCUGAUGUUGUUGAAUUUACUUAUCAGUACUAAACUUAUUAGAAACUUGCUUUCCUCCAUUACAUUGUUUUCUCUUGUUUUGAACUAUGGGCCGAUAGUAUGAACCAUUAUAACUUGCUAGAUACUCAAUCUUGUACCUUAUGAUCAGAAAAAAGAACGAACCAGCAGACCAGUUAUGUUAAUCGGUUUCAUACUUUAUUAUCUCUGUGCUUUGUAAUUGGUAAUAGUGAUAAAUAAAAAGUGUAAGGAACUUGAGUGGCUGUUUUUUAA
Lycium barbarum (goji berry) is the source of this 738-nucleotide long non-coding RNA. RefSeq lists it as uncharacterized. The record is from RefSeq and is a predicted model, not a curated record. NCBI's taxonomy places the organism in Eukaryota, Viridiplantae, Streptophyta, Magnoliopsida, Solanales, Solanaceae. The transcript has 3 exons.